AGCUUCCCAGGGCUCUCCGAGAAGUAUGGUAACAUAUUCACUGUACAUUUCGGACCCAGAAAGACAGUGGUGCUGGCUGGUUAUGAGACUAUUAAGGAUGCCCUUUUAAAUCAUGCUGAAGAAUUUGGAGAGAGGGCAGAAAUACCCAUAUUUAGGAAGACCACACACGGAAAUGGCAUAGUCUUCAGUCACGGAGAGUUAUGGAAAACAAUGCGAAGAUUCACCUUAUCUACCCUACGGGAUUUUGGAGUUGGAAAGAAAACCAUU
Chelonoidis abingdonii (Abingdon island giant tortoise) is the source of this 267-nucleotide non-coding RNA. NCBI's taxonomy places the organism in Eukaryota, Metazoa, Chordata, Testudines, Testudinidae. The record is from RefSeq and is a predicted model, not a curated record.